Molecule: long non-coding RNA, 1343 nt
Filed under: Gallus gallus (chicken)
Lineage: Eukaryota; Metazoa; Chordata; Aves; Galliformes; Phasianidae
Description: long non-coding RNA NONGGAT002069
Source: RNAcentral
AUUUGACACAGUUUCUUUCUCUUAAAUAGAUCAAGGGGACUGCACAAUCCUUUUGAAUGCUGUGCAAGGGACAACGGAAGGUCAGAGUGCAAAGAACAGGGGUCCUCAUACCUCCCUGCAAGCAAAUUCUUCUCAGUUAUCCCAGCCUUACUGUAUCAUGGAACACAUAACCUUCUCCCUUUCAGGAUACAAGCAGCACGACCAAAGCAACAAUUAGCUCCUGUCAUUUUUGAAAUGAGAGUUCAGAAAUAUUUGCAAACUCUUCUUCUGAGCGUGGCUUUUUUUUUUUUCUUUUUGGUCUUUUUGUUUGUUGGACUUUCAUUUCUGAGGUUAGAUAUUUCUUAUACUUAUUUAUUGCCUUGAAAGAUAUAUUUGAUUAUGAGAAAUUGAGUGAAACCACCCGAGCAGCAGUUUCAUCACUCUUGGAAGUGCAUCAGGGUUGCUGUCUCAGAGGCUGACUUUAACCUAGCCAAGUAUCUACGGAUGAACGCAGAGCCAGAUUUAUUUGUGCAUGUAUUUAUUUAAGUGCUCUAAUGGUGUUGCUUUGUUUGGGGACAACCAAACCUUGGUUCGUAGAGAAUAGCAACUGCAGACUUAGUGGCUUGCUGCAUACCCUUUACACACACUGCUGACUUGUGGAAAGAGAGCAGAUCGAUUUCCCUCCGAGCUGGCUGGAAGGUGCGGGCAGGAACACGUUCCUACCAGCUCGCUGGCCCCAGCCCGCGUGAGCCCACUUGCACGGCGAGACGCGGAGCAGCGGCCAUUUUGCUGUACGGUCCGGUACUCUGCGGUGCGGCGCGGCUCCCCGGGCGCUCUCCAUGGUGCUGUCGCGGGCGGGAGGCACUCGCGGCCCGGCACGGCCCUGCUCCCUUCGGGGCUCGCAAGUCUUCUCCCUCGGACUGCACCUCUGCUCCACUUCCCUUCCUUCUGGCAAGGGCACGGAGUCCUGAUUCCACGCCUUUGAAGAAAGCUCGAGCGAGCCAUGUUGGUUAACCCACGUGUGAAGGACCCGCAGACUGCUUUGUAUCUGGCCAUCACCCUUUGACCUGUAAAAAGAGUAUGUUUUUAUCUGGAAAUUAAGCUAGCGUCAACACAAACGAUAGGAAAAAAAAUGGCGUUUAGAAGUACUGACAUGAUUAACUUAAGGUUUUGAUGGACUUAAUUCAUUUCUUCAUCUCAUUUUUUCUCUGUGGAAUGCUGGUGUACACAGUUUAGCUGGGGGCAUAGUAUUCCAGUUCAACUACUGAGAAGCAUGAUUGCUGGAAUACAGUGAUUAUCAUUUCCUAUUACUCUUUUGUACAUAUUUUUUACAUAUUUAUAAUUUAAAAUAUAACUGUCCUAUA